UACGUAGGGUGCAAGCGUUAAUCGGAAUACUGGGCGUAAAGCGUGCGCAGGCGGUGAUGUAAGACAGGUGUGAAAUCCCCGGGCUUAACCUGGGAACUGCAUUUGUGACUGCAUCGCUGGAGUGCGGCAGAGGGGGAUGGAAUUCCGCGUGUAGCAGUGAAAUGCGUAGAUAUCGAGAGGAACACCAGUGGCGAAGGCGAGUCCCUGGACAACACCUGACACUGAGGCACGAAAGCUAGGGGAGCAAACAGG
RNAcentral lists this ribosomal RNA (252 nucleotides) under uncultured bacterium. RNAcentral's name for it is "partial 16S ribosomal RNA". It matches the Rfam family "Bacterial small subunit ribosomal RNA", at positions 524 to 776 of the family's 1533-position model. The record is from RNAcentral.